RNAcentral lists this long non-coding RNA (1489 nucleotides) under Vombatus ursinus (common wombat). RNAcentral's name for it is "lncRNA (ENSVURG00010006088.1)". The record is from RNAcentral. Lineage: Eukaryota; Metazoa; Chordata; Mammalia; Diprotodontia; Vombatidae.
AUGGUCUCAAAAUUCUGUGACAGAUUUUUGAUCAAGUUGUUUGCAUUUAAAAUUUCCUGAUUUUAAAAACCAAUAACUUAAAACAAAUGAUCCACAAAAACAUUCCUUUUCUCCUGAAGCUUUUACAAUGCAUUGUAAUCAUUAACCAGUCUUUUACUAUUAAACUUAAAUGACCAAUUGAGACAAACAGUUCUGAGACUGUUCUUCCACCACUGAUUAAGAUGGGGGUGGCAGGUAUUGUACAAAAUAUUCAUUUAGCCUUCUGGGCAGAUUUUGUGACCUUGCUAGCUCCAGCAGCCUUCUUGUCAACUGCCUUGAUGACACCAACUACAACAGUCUGUCUCAUAUCACGAACAGCAAAACAACCCAGAGGUGUAUAAUCGAAGAAGCUCUCCACACACGUGGGCUUGUCUGGAACCAUGUUCAACAAUGGCAGCAUCACCAGAUUUCAGGAAUUUAGGGUCAUCUUCCAGCUUCUUGCUCAAUGACAAUCAAUCUUCUCCUUCAGUUCAGCAAACUUGCAAGCAAUGUGAGCAGUGUGACAAUCCAGAACAGGUGUGUAACCAGCACUGAUUUGGCCUGUAUGGUUCAGGAUAAUGACCUGUGCAGUGAAGCCAGCUGCUUCCAUAGGUAGGUCAUUCUUGCUAUCACCAGCCACAUUACCAUGGCAGACAUUUUUGACAGAUAUGUUCUUGACAUUGAAACCAAUGUUAUCCCCUGGCAGAGCCUCACUCAAAGCUUCAUGGUGCAUUUCAACAGAUUUUACUUCAGUUGUACCAUCGACUGGGGCAAAGGUGACCACCUUGCUUGGUUUUAGAAUACCAGUUUCCACUCUGCCAACAGUCGAAGAGGAGAGGAACCUGGAGCCAGAGGCUAGUGAAGAGAGUCAUCUGAAAACUCAUUCAUUAUCUGAAGGAUUCAUUGUGAUCCACAACCCAAAGGAGAGGCUUCAUCCAUUAAGUUGCUAGUCAUAGCAUUAAUAAGAUCAUAGUGUACACUCCAGAAUCAACUUUCUGCAGCACGAACAGAAAAGACUAUUCCCACCUUUAGGGUUAUCUGGAAAAAGUUAAGGAGGAAUAACUUUUAGGGGGCAAUGUAGUGUUGACAGUAGAAUGAUAAUGACUAGAAAAGGGCAAUAGCUUUUUUGCAGUAUUACGAAAAGAAAAAGGAGGUUAAUUAGGAUUGUAAGAAUUCAGUUUAAAAUAAUUUUUCCUAUUUGUUUGCUCUAAAACUUGGUAGAAUCAUAAUGGCCAGAAUACUUUGAAGUUCUAAGUCCUUUCCAGGAUAAUAGCACUUAAGAUAAAACUUGUGCAGCAUACUAAUUGAGUUACCUUCAGUGAGAAAGGAUAUAUUAUUUGUUAAACUCUGCUUCUUAGUUGAGAAACAACUGCUUUUGUAAUGUUGGGGAAAUGGCAUCUAUUUCAUAAAAAAAAAAAUUUUUUUUACACAUGCCUCAUUUAUUUUGUCUUUCAAUAAAGCAUUAAUUUAC